UGAGAGUGAUGAGUUGCACACUGGUGGAGC
RNAcentral lists this non-coding RNA (30 nucleotides) under Callithrix jacchus (white-tufted-ear marmoset). The record is from RNAcentral. RNAcentral also lists the same sequence under 2 other names. Lineage: Eukaryota; Metazoa; Chordata; Mammalia; Primates; Cebidae.